RNAcentral lists this ribosomal RNA (438 nucleotides) under uncultured bacterium. RNAcentral describes it as "bacterial SSU rRNA". It matches the Rfam family "Bacterial small subunit ribosomal RNA", at positions 1111 to 1533 of the family's 1533-position model. The record is from RNAcentral.
UUAGUUGCCAUCAUUAAGUUGGGCACUCUAAACAGACUGCCGGUGACAAACCGGAGGAAGGUGGGGAUGACGUCAAGUCAGCAUGCCCCUUACGUCCUGGGCUACACACGUACUACAAUGGUAGGGACAGAGGGCAGCCAACCCGCGAGGGCGAGCUAAUCCCGUAAACCCUGCCUCAGUUCAGAUUGCAGGCUGCAACUCGCCUGCAUGAAGGCGGAAUCGCUAGUAAUCGCGGAUCAGCAUGCCGCGGUGAAUACGUUCCCGGGCCUUGUACACACCGCCCGUCACACCACGAGAGUUUGUAACACCCGAAGUCGGUGGGGUAACCUUUUGGAGCCAGCCGCCUAAGGUGGGACAGAUGAUUGGGGUGAAGUCGAAACAAGGUAGCCGUAUCGGAAGGUGCGGCUGGAUCACCUCCUUUCUGCGUCGACGCGGCCG